This 1168-nucleotide ribosomal RNA is filed under the name Bacillus sp. L6a. Its description in RNAcentral is "bacterial SSU rRNA". It matches the Rfam family "Bacterial small subunit ribosomal RNA", at positions 89 to 1246 of the family's 1533-position model. Lineage: Bacteria; Bacillati; Bacillota; Bacilli; Caryophanales; Bacillaceae. The record is from RNAcentral.
AUGUUAGCGGCGGACGGGUGAUUAACACGGGGGUAACCUGCCUGUAAGACUGGGAUAACUCCGGGAAACCGGUGCUAAUACCGGAUAGUUCCUUGAACCGCAUGGUUCAGGGAUGAUAGACGGGUUCGGCUGUCACUUAUUGAUGGCGCCGCCAGCGUUCGUCCUGAGCCUGAGUCAACCUCUAAACCAAGGCGACGAUGCGUAGCCGACCUGAGAGGGUGAUCGGCCACACUGGGACUGAGACACGGCCCAGACUCCUACGGGAGGCAGCAGUAGGGAAUCUUCCGCAAUGGACGAAAGUCUGACGGAGCAACGCCGCGUGAGUGAUGAAGGUUUUCGGAUCGUAAAGCUCUGUUGUUAGGGAAGAACAAGUGCAAGAGUAACUGCUUGCACCUUGACGGUACCUAACCAGAAAGCCACGGCUAACUACGUGCCAGCAGCCGCGGUAAUACGUAGGUGGCAAGCGUUGUCCGGAAUUAUUGGGCGUAAAGGGCUCGCAGGCGGUUUCUUAAGUCUGAUGUGAAAGCCCCCGGCUCAACCGGGGAGGGUCAUUGGAAACUGGGAAACUUGAGUGCAGAAGAGGAGAGUGGAAUUCCACGUGUAGCGGUGAAAUGCGUAGAGAUGUGGAGGAACACCAGUGGCGAAGGCGACUCUCUGGUCUGUAACUGACGCUGAGGAGCGAAAGCGUGGGGAGCGAACAGGAUUAGAUACCCUGGUAGUCCACGCCGUAAACGAUGAGUGCUAAGUGUUAGGGGGUUUCCGCCCCUUAGUGCUGCAGCUAACGCAUUAAGCACUCCGCCUGGGGAGUACGGUCGCAAGACUGAAACUCAAAGGAAUUGACGGGGGCCCGCACAAGCGGUGGAGCAUGUGGUUUAAUUCGAAGCAACGCGAAGAACCUUACCAGGUCUUGACAUCCUCUGACAACCCUAGAGAUAGGGCUUUCCCUUCGGGGACAGAGUGACAGGUGGUGCAUGGUUGUCGUCAGCUCGUGUCGUGAGAUGUUGGGUUAAGUCCCGCAACGAGCGCAACCCUUGAUCUUAGUUGCCAGCAUUCAGUUGGGCACUCUAAGGUGACUGCCGGUGACAAACCGGAGGAAGGUGGGGAUGACGUCUAAUCAUCAUGCCCGGAUGAAUUGGAACGGUGAGUGCUACGAUCACGACACAUUCAC